This 69-nucleotide transfer RNA is filed under the name Erinaceus europaeus (western European hedgehog). It matches the Rfam family "tRNA". Rfam says of the family: Transfer RNA (tRNA) molecules are approximately 80 nucleotides in length. The record is from Rfam by way of RNAcentral. Lineage: Eukaryota; Metazoa; Chordata; Mammalia; Eulipotyphla; Erinaceidae.
GGGAAAUAGCUCAGCUGGUAGAGCACAGGACUUGGAUGCCUGAGGCAUUUGGUUCAAUCCCCAAACCCA